Molecule: long non-coding RNA, 728 nt
Organism: Rosa rugosa (rugosa rose)
Lineage: Eukaryota; Viridiplantae; Streptophyta; Magnoliopsida; Rosales; Rosaceae
Exons: 2
Source: RefSeq, a predicted model, not a curated record
UGACGGAUAUCUUUAGUUCAGAAAGAACCACCAGCAAAACUUAAAAUAUAUGAUACAAGUAAACAAGAUAUAACAUGAAUUUAGAGCAAAAAGCAAAGUCAAAAGAAAAGGCAAUACAAACAGCAGCAGCAAAACCCAAAUAGCAAUAACAUAAUAUCAUUAUUACAAAUUUAUAAAACUUGGAGAAUUGGAGAUUAGACAGAUGCAUGAUUUGUUCAAACUGAACUCAUCAAUGGACAAAGGUUUCAAUCUUACCUUUCAAUAUAUAUAUAAAGGUAGCAAAGUUCUAGAGUCCUCAGCCCUCAAUUUCAUAUAUACAAGUCCCACCAAUUUAAAUCAUAAAAAGAAUCUACUUGUUUUAAAGUUCAUUUUCAUUGCUUCUGUUAUAGUCAUCAAACAACACUAAACACCCCUUCACUCAAGUAUAUGAAGCUCAAAUCUGCCUCCCAAUUCCCAAAUGCUCAAAUCAAAGGCAUCAAUUUAUCAACAACAAAUAAAAAAAAACACACUUUAAUAGUGUUUCUCUAACAGAUAUUCAAAAACAAAGCUCUAUUUGUCUCAUUUUAGCUCACAAAACAACCGAUUCACCAAGCAAAGCAAAAUGAAAAAAAAAAAAAAAAAAAACAAAGAGAAAAAUUUCACCGAUAACAAACAGAUCACGAACAAAACUAAAUCCAGAGUAAAGAGGCGAACCUGUUCCACCAUCACCAACGAUUACGAGCUUGAAG